AGUCGAUCGGAGGCGAGUCUCUCGAGUAGGUUGUCGGAGCCUUCGGGACAGAAUUGCACCAUCCGGAAGCGAUUCUUGCGAGCAAAAGCGUGAACGAAACACGUGACUUACGUGAGCUAGGCUGGCGACCGCGAGGCCAAAUGUGAACGCUAUGUGAACCACCGUUGGAGGAUUGCUGGCCGUCCACGUGAUGCAGGAUGCACAUCCGAUCAGCACGAGAAGAAAGGUUCCCAGGGUUUCGGCUAACAGCAUCACCAAAAACUCGACCUUCGUCACCUCUUCGAGGCCGACGAAAUCUUUCGCGCCUGGACAGAACGAAGAAGAAGAAGAAGAAGGAGAAAGAGAGAGAGAGAGAAAAGGAAAAUAACGCGUAUUAUGUUGUCGAGCGUCUCUCAAUUGCAACAUUUUGUUGGUAAUUAAACGAUACACGCGAAAAGGAGACGCGUUUCACUCCCGUCCAUCCAUUAUUGAAACGUCAAAAUUCGUGUGUAUUCGACGAACGUAUAUGAAUAUAUAAAUAUUCGUCAUUGUCGGUGCCCACGAUUGUUGUUGUUGCUUUUUUUUUUCUUUCUUCUUUUUCCCUCGCGAAGAAACGUCCCAUACGCAUGUAUACUUGUUUGUCGGUGCAUCGAUCAUCGAAAUACGAGGUACGAAUUUUUAAUACAUUGUACAAAAGGUAUUUGCCUUUCGUCUCUCUCUCUCUCUCUCUCUCGUCGUUUCCUUUCUCCUUUGAUUCUUUUUUGGAAAAAAGAGGGAAGAGAAAUUAUGUAAUCCACGAGGAUGGACGACGUGGGUGACGCGAAUUUGCAGUGUUCUAUAAAAGCAAAGGAGAAGAGGGGGAGGAGAAGAGAUUUUUUCUCGAUACGAAUGUCGAAAUUCUAUUUCUGUGUUAUGCAACGUAUAGAAAUAAUACACAAAAAUAUCUUAUAUAUUUGAUAAAUUGCGAAUUAAAUUGUUGCAUUUAUUGUUCAUCGAAAAGUUUGUUUAUCGAAAAUAUAUACAACAAAUGACAAGAAAAAUUUCGAACGAAGAAAAUUGAAAGAACCGAAAUAACAUAAUAAUACAGUAUUUUUUUUUUUUUUUUUUUGACUCUCGACGAUUUUAAAAAAUGGAAAGAGAAGUAGCUUUUGGAACCACGUACCUUUCCAACCCUUGCCCAUCCUCCUCUCGAUACAAACUCACACGUUUCCGCGCACCACACACACUCCUUCUCCUUCGAUCCUACCACCCUCGCUUCUCCCCUCGGACAAGUUCGACAAUCCUCGGAUCGAUCUCUCUCAUCGGUGCUCGGCCACCAUCUCGCCCAAUCGUGUGCGAUCGCGGGGAGAAACAAUCCUCCCCACCCCCUCUCUCCCUCUUUGUCCAAAGACAAAGGAGGAUCUUUCGAAACGAGAAGACAAUGGUGGACGAGCUUAUCACCCCGUUUAUAUCUCCGCGGUUUUAUCAAGCGUAAAUUGGGAAACUGGGAAAUCGAGCAACGGUUUCGUUUGAAAAUGAUCGAAUACCUUCUCUGCGUAACGGGAAGGAGAAGGAAGGAACAGGAAGAAGAAAGAAGAAGAAGAAGAAGAAGCGAAUGUGGUGCACUCGAACUCGCGAUUACUUCCACGAUACACCACGUGGAGUCUCUGGGCUAUUGAGUCU
Molecule: long non-coding RNA, 1641 nt
Organism: Apis cerana (Asiatic honeybee)
Lineage: Eukaryota; Metazoa; Arthropoda; Insecta; Hymenoptera; Apidae
Source: RefSeq, a predicted model, not a curated record